CUGCUCUGUUCUGCCCAGUUCUGUGAAAUGACACACUAGAACUGAAGAAGCCCAAGCACCUCUUAAGAAGACACUCCUUGUUUGGGUUUGGUUGUGUAUAUGGUGUAAGAACUUUUGUAGCAGAACUCCAGAGAAUGGGAUCCAGGUGCUAUUAACCUUUUUAGGGGAUUCAAGAUUAUAAAAAUCAGCUGGGAAAGGGUUAGAAUUUUCUGCCCAAAGCACUUAAGCACUUCCGCUUUUAUGUUUCAAAGUCUGCCCAGCCACAGAGGCUCUGCCUUUGGGUUCUAGUCCCAUGGUUUCCCUCUCUGGGCACCAGCUGAAACAUGCAGUGGUUUCCACCUCAGUCACAGGCACAUCUUCUUUUUUGGAGACAGUCAGAAAAGGGAUGGAUCAGCCAGGUUCUUCCCUACUUUGGAGUUCACAUGCAGCCUCCUCUUUCUCUCCUCUUUGCUCCCAGAAAGGGCAGGGAAUAUUUCUGGCUGUUGCAGAACAUCAUAAGGCUUUCACACAUCACUUCCAACACAUUCCUCGCCUGCGUUCAUCCAGGAAGAAUCUGCUGCGUUUGAUUUCUGUCUCAGGUCACUCAUCUCACAGCUAUGUGCCAGAAACUGUGUUUCACUUUGUAAACCAUGCCAGAGGAACGUCUGCAACUGCCAAGACAAUGAUGGGGAAUGUCUGCAUCAAAACUGUCCGUGGCAGUUCUUCAAAUAUAUUGGUGAGGCUUGAAAUUUAA
RNAcentral lists this long non-coding RNA (733 nucleotides) under Anas platyrhynchos platyrhynchos (common mallard). Its description in RNAcentral is "lncRNA (ENSAPLG00000025805.1)". The record is from RNAcentral. Lineage: Eukaryota; Metazoa; Chordata; Aves; Anseriformes; Anatidae.